CUCUGCCUGUGUCUGCCUCUAUCUCAUGAAUGGAUAAAUAAAAUCUUUAAAAGAAAAAAAAAGGAAUCAUGGUUCCUUCAAAAGUCAGAAGAUAAAAUAUAAAAGGGUUUUAACAGGCAAAAUUCCACCUUUGACCCCUUGGAGGAAGCCAAAAUGGCUAGUUUCUUGUGCAUCCUUCUGGAGAGGACAUCUGGGAAAAAUAGAUACUCCCCAGGUAGUUUUAGCAUAGUUCACUUGAAUUUUACAAAGGCAAGUAAUAGUAUUGCAGCUCUUAACACUAGGAAACUAUUUGUAAUUAAAUUUUUGUUUACUGUUAAUGUCCAUCUAUUUAUACUUAUUUUGAUUAUUUCUUUUUAAAAAAACGUAUGUAUGUAUUCAUGAGAGACAUGCAGAGGCAGGCUCCAUGCAGGAAACCUGAUGCGGGACUCCCAUCACGCUCUGAGCCAAAGGCAGACGCUCAACCUCUGAGCCACCCAGGCGUCCCUAUUUUGAUUAUUUCUAAGGAAGUCGUAGAAUUAAGAUUUUUAAGCAGGGGUAGGAUUUAAAUCCUGGUUCAGUUCCUAGCAGUCCUAAAGCGUUAAAAAAAAAUGUGUUAUUUUGAUAACAGGAAAAUCCCUUACAAAAAGCUGUAUAUCCUCUUCACACUCUCUUAAUUAUUUCUGUAAUUGUUUCAUUUACAUAUUUUUUUCCUCAAUCAUGAAAGUAAGUCUUGCUGUUUUAUCCCUAAAAACUAUUUCCUAGGAAUGGGACAUUCUCUUCAUGUAACUACAGUGCCUACUGAAAAUAGCAUCAAUAAAGUAGUUUCUAAUCCAUGGUCCAUAGUUCUAUUUCAUUAAUUGUCCAUCAAUGUCCUUUAUAUGAGCCAGGAUCAUUUGCCACACUUUGUUGUCUGUUCUUUGGUCUCGUUUAAUCUGGACCAGGUCCUCAGCCUUUUUCUUGACCGUGUCAUUUUUGAAGAGUAGAGGACAAUUAUUUAGAGAAUUUCCCUCAUUUGGGUUUGCCUGAUGUCUUCUCAUUACUGCAUUUUUAGCAGGAAUAUCAUGAGAAUGAGACAGGACUGUCAGUGCAUCAUGUCUAGUCGUUUUGUAAUAACCUGUAAAUUCGUAUUUCCUGUGAGAGUCGUAAGGUUAAAGUUCUUGUUUUUAGGGAGAGAGCCAGUCAUUUCCAAAUUUAAGAGCUGCUGAAGGGAGUUCUGUUGGCACUAGAUUGUACUCCAUUACCAUUCAAAGUAGGAGAGUGGAUAGAUAAAAGAUCAAAUAGAACUCUGUCCUAAUUCAGGAAACAGCGCCCUCUAGUAUUGUGGGGAUAAAUGCUGUUAUCAAAGCACUUGGCAGUCACUCCUUAAAGAUUAGCUGCUCUUAGUAAAACAUUCUGUAAAUCGCCAAACCUUAAAACUCUUCUAGCCAGUUGAGGAAAGGGUAGACAAAGCAGAAUUGCUGAAUAUGGUGCUCAAGUAUUAAAGUGGCCACUACUAUCACUAUUCUAAGCAGUCUUGAGUGUGCUAUUUAAAUACAUUGCUGUUCCUUUGAUUUUACAAGAUUGUAGACAGCAGCUAGAAGAAUAGUAUGAUGAGCCUACUGGAUACUACAUGCUUCCUCUCCAAGGUAAUUUUGAAAGAACCCUAGACACUCCAGCUGAAGGUAGUUCACUGUGCACCUCUAAAAGACAUCUUAAGUCUCCUUAAUCUCUUGUUCUUUGCAGUAUAUUUGUUGAAGGUCAUGAGUAGUUUCUCAGUCUUGAUUUUGCUCAUUGCAUCCUCCUGAUACCAUUUAGCAUGUUCUAGACCUGAGAACAGUGCUUCUCAAAUUGUGCCUGGACCAGUAACCUCAGCAUCAUCUGGGAAUUUGUUUAAAAUGUAGUUUCUUAAGCCUGACCUUAGAUCACUGAAUCAGAAACUUAAGUGGAGCCCAGCCACAGGCGUUCCAAGUGAUUCUGGUGCAUGCUCAAAUUUGAGACCCAUUUUAGAGGCUUUUAUCAGAUUCUGGUGGGGGGAGAUGUUCUUCCCAAAAAAUACAUGGGUAUUUUUUGUCAUUGGCAGCCAUUGAUGAUCUUUGCCUAGAUUCAUUAAACCAUGAACCCAUGAUUUGUUUUUUUUAUAUAUAAAUUUAUUUUUUAUUGUUCAAUUUGCCAACAUAUAGAAUAACACCCAGUGCUCAUCCCAUCAAGUGCCCACCUCAGUGCCCGUCACCCAGUCACGCCCACCCCACCUCCCCUUCCACCACCCCUAUAACCCAUGAUUUGAAACACAUUUUUCAGUCCAUGGCAGUUUUCCUUAUUGGUGUUACCUUGUUCUACCUUUAGUCAGUGGAAGUCCAUGCAAGUUGCCUCCUGAGUUCCUUCAGAGCAGCCCUAAAAUAAUCUUAACAGUUUCCUUGCUUUUUUAGUAUGGUAGGAUUUUCAGGUUCAACUUUCUAGUCUCAGACCUGCUCCAACAAGCCCUGGUUAUCUGUAUUGAAAGGGUAUUUAGCAAGCGCAAUCUGGGCCCUUGGGUGUUCAUUGCUUCCAGUUGGGUCUUUCUCAGUCCCCUUCCAGAUCAGACUACUUUCUGCUCUUGUGAAGGGCUUGCAUGCUAAAAAUCCCCUCAGCUGACUUGGUGCAGCAGUGAAGCCACUAGCCAUCUCUCUCGUCUUCCGGUAUUCUGGUUGGUCAGGGUCCCUCUUACAGAGUGAAGCCUGCUAGUAAGAGACAGCAUUACAGAGAAACUUUAAUCUACUCAGCAGAGCAAGUAGUGUGUGGACACCCUGCCCUAAUAGAUGUUCAGCUGAAUUCUGGGUCAGUUCUGGCAAAGGAGUGAGGAAACUUUAACAUCCCUAUAAGAACCUCUUCUGCUUCUUCAGAGAGUUUAAAGCAAAUAAUGUGGCCUCUUGCUCUGGAUAACAGGAAUAGAGGGAAAUUCAGAGUCUAAAUUGCAGUGUGAUUGUAGAGUACACAACAGCGUUAUAAUUGGAAUGAGGAAAUAAGAUCUUAACAGCUUUCGUCCACCUUUGGAUGACAUUCUCCUGCAGACCUAGUAAGAACUCAAGCAUGGAUAGCUGUGGCUGUGACUUAGUAAUAAGCUGAUCAGUGUAAUACCCUGAGUCAUAAUGUCCAAACUCACAUUCAAUAAACACUUAUUAAAGGCCUUGCCAGGGGCGCCUGAGUGGCUCAGUCGGUUAAGUGUGUCAUUGGCUGAGGUCAUGACCCCAGGGUCUGGGGAUGAAGCGCUGCAUCAGGCUCCUUGCUCACCAGGGAGCCUGUUUCUUCCUCUCCCUCUGCCUGCUGCUCCCCCUGCUUGUGUUCUCUUUGUCAAAUGAAGAAAAUCUAAUAAAUACAUGCAUGCCUUGCCAGAUUCUUUUGUAGAUCCACAUAUAUUUGUAUACCCAAUCCUCCCUUCAUUAGAAUACCUACUGUCCCUUGAUUUAGCCAGUAGAACUUUGGCAGGUAUGACCUGUUUAUUAGACUAGAUAUUACCCUCCCCUCCCCCAAAGAUGCCUAUCUUUCAACCCUAUAACCUGGGAGUAUAUUACCUUUCAUGGUAAAAGGAACUUUGAAAUGUGACUAAAUUAAAGUCUGGAAAUGGGAAGAUUAUCCUGGGUUAUCCUUGUGGGCCCAGUGUAAUCACAAUAGGAAGCUUGGGAGGUAAAAAGAUCAGAAAAAGUUGAUGUGAAAACCAGCAAAAUCAGAUUAGAAGAUACUACCCUACCAGCCUUGAAGACAGAAGGGACUGCUAGGCAAUAAAAGUAAAUUCUCUACAGCCUCUGGAGGAAGCACAGAUCUACCCACAGCUUGACCUUGUGAAGGUCCUCUCCAGGCUAAACCUCCCCUCAGCUCAUUUGGACUUCUGACCUCUACAACUCCACUGACAAGCUAAUUCUUUCAGAAGAAAGUCCUUGGUACUGGACUUCCUUGGAGAUCCAAUUUGGGCUUCUGGCCUCCGGAACUACAAGACACAGAAGCAGAGACACAGGAGGGAGAAGCAGGCUCCAUGCCGGGAUCCCAAUGUAGGGCUCGAUCCCGGGACUCCAGGACCACGCCCUGGGCCAAAGGCAGGUGCUAAACCGCUGAGCCACCCAGGGAUACCCGUGAUUGAGUGAUUCUUUUUUGUUAGGUUCCUCAGCGUCUUCCUAAGUGGAAUUUUACCAGUAUGUUGAGGACAAGGUUCCGAUAUUUAGCAGCCUGGAGUUAAGGGAAAUAGCUGAGACUCUGGCCCUCACUGAAAACAAAUUCUAGCAGUUACAAACAUAAGGUUUCAUUCCCAAAAUCAAAUAAAAAUUUUGUCAAUAUCUGAUGUUCUGGGUAAUGUAAACCCAUGCCCUGGGGGAGAGCAGGACCUGAAGCUGAUUCUAUUUGGAAACUUGGGUCUCCCUUGCCUUUCCCCCUAUGGAGCCCACACCUGGAGGUGUCCAGUCUAUACUGGUUUCAGUUUCUAUUCACAGUAUCAACUGGACUUAAGAUCCCAUCUCCUGCCAUUAAGUGUGCGAUGAAACCCAAGUCCCUAUGACCACUUCAGGACAAGCCAGACACCAGGCCACCUCCCUCCCUAUUGCUCUGUUUCCCUCUUUUUGUUUCUGACUCCUGCUGGUUACCUUUUCUUGCAAAUUCAGACAUGACUUUACUCUUCUUCCUUUGCUUGCUUUUUUCUUGUAAUAUUUUACACAGGAUUUUGGGGGUGUUUAUGCUAGAAGGGGCUCCCUAUUAGUAAAAUCUGUCAUGUUGGAACCAGAAGUGUUUCCACACUGAACACAAAGGGCACAUUUUAUGAUUUUCCUAAAAUACAUAGACUGCCCCAAUGGUGAAUUAAAUUCUGUAAAAAUAGGUGUGGGCUGCUUAAAACAGUUUUCCCAGCGCUUCUAUUAACAUUUCAAAUUUAGGCCCACUCAGGUAGAAGAUUAACUUGGAGAAGACAACUGAGAGCUAUUGAGUUGCACAAGAGGGGUCUGUCACCAGAGGGAAGAACUGGACUUGCUCCCAUGCUCCUGAGAGCAUACUGGAGCAGCAGAACAAAUGCUGGCUAUGAGAGAGACAACUUCCCCCAGAAAACACCAGCUUGGGAGGAGCUCUCCAUCCCUGACGUCCCCGUCAGGCAAGCAAGACCAUCGAAAGUAUCAGGACCACCUGUUCAUACUGUUAACCGGCAGAACAAUCCUGUCUCAGCAACUCAUGUUGGUUGGUUCCUACAUCCUGCUAGCUCAGAUUCCACUUGUCUGUCUGAAUCACUGUCUGCAAGAUGCAUUUGUAAUUGAGAAGCCAUGUGUUUGUGUAGUUUCAUCACUUUCUUGUAAUCCGAAUACCUAAAAUAAACCUUUUGGAAAAUCUA
Molecule: long non-coding RNA, 5296 nt
Organism: Canis lupus familiaris (dog)
Lineage: Eukaryota; Metazoa; Chordata; Mammalia; Carnivora; Canidae
Exons: 3
Source: RefSeq, a predicted model, not a curated record